GGGUCUAAUCGGAGCUGUAGCCACUGGCCUAUGCCAGAGCCACAGCAAUACACGAUCCAAGCCACGUCUGUGACCUACACCACAGCUCAUGGCAACGCCAGAUCCUUAACCCACUGAGCGAGACCAGGGAUUGAACCCUCAACCUCAUGGUUCCUAGUCGGAUUUGUUAACCACUGCGCCACGACGGGAACUCUGGAACUCCCUCAAUAUAUCUUUUAAGGUAGGUUUAGCAUUGCUGUAUUAUUUUAGUCUUUGCUUGUCUGAGAAAUUCUCUGUCUCUUCUUUUAUUCUAAAUGAUAAUCUUGAUGGGUAGAGCAUCCUAGGUUACAGUCCUUUCAGGACUUAGAAUAUACCAUGCCUCUCCCUUCUGGCCCACAAAGUUUCUUCAGAGAAAUCAGUUGAUAAUAUUAUGGGGGUUACCUUGUAAAUACUCUUUCUCUUGCUUCCUUUAGAAUCCUCUCUUUAUCUUUAACUUUCACCAUUUUCAUUGUAUGUCUCCGCGUGGGACUCUCUCUGCUUCCUGUAACUGGAUAUCUGUUUCCUUCUUUAGAUUUGAGAUGUUUUCAGCAAUAAUUUCUUCAAAUACUUUUUUGAUCUCCUUUUCUCUUGUCCUCUGGAACCCCUAUUAUAUAUAAAUUGGCACGUUAUAUUAUCCUAUAGAUUUUUUAUGCUGCUUUUUUUUCCCCAUUAUCUUUCUGUCUGCUCUUCUGACUGGGUGAUUUCCAUUAUUCUCUUUCAGAUCAUUUAUUUUUUUCUGUGUCAUUUAGUUGGCUACUCAUUACCUCUAGAUUACGUUGUAUCUCAGAAGUUGAAUAUCUAUUUUUGAUUGGUUCAUCUUUAUAGUUUGUAGUUCCUUGUUAUAGUGAUAUGCAUUUCUAUUGAUAAUCUUUCUUAAUCCAGUUAGCAUUUUUAUUACCACCUUUUUGAAAUUGAGUAUGGUAGAUUGGUGAGCCCUGUUUCUUUCUUCUUUCAGGGGUGUUUCUCUUGCUUUUGAAAUUGGGAGUAGUUCCUCUGCCUUUCCAUUUUAUUUAACUUUCUCUGUCUUUAUGAAUUUAGGAGAAACAGUUAUCUAUUGUGGUCUUGAAGGAGUGUUUUUAUGUGGGAGCAUCCCUGUGUAGACUGUGUGUGUCCAGUGUCUUUUGUUCAAGGGCUAGUUUUGAUAUGGAUGCCAGCCACAUCUUUCCUCAGGGUGUGCUGCCUGCUGUCACCUUUAUAGGGAUGUGGUUGAGCCCUGUCUCCAUACUGUUUUCCACAGUGGUUGCACCAAUUUACAAUCCCACCAACAGUGUACGAGGGUUCCUUUUUCUCCACACCCUCCUCAGCACUUAUUAUUUGUAGGCUUUUUGAAGAUGGCCAUUCUGGCUGGUGUAAGGUGGUACCUCAUCGUGGUUUUGAUUUGCAUUUCUCUAAUAAUGAGUGAUGUUGAAUAUCGUUUCAUGUGUUUUUUGUCCAUCUGUAUGUCUUCUUUGGAGAACUAUCUGUUUAGAUCUUCCCAUUUUUUGAUGGGGUUGUUUGUUUUUUUGGUAUGGAGCUGCAGAAGGUGUUUAUAAAUUUUGGAGAUGAAUCCCUUGUCAGUUGAUUCACAUGCAAAGAUUUUUCUCCCAUUCUGUGGGUUGUCUUUUCAUUUUGUUUAGGGUUUCCUUUGCUGUGCAGAAACUUUGAAGUUUGAGUAGGUCCCAUUAGUUUAUUUUUGUUUUUACUGUCAUCACUCUAAGAGGUGGAUCUAAGAAGAUGUUGCCGUCGUUUAUGUCAGAGAGUGUUUGGCCUAUGUUUUCCUCUAAGACUUUUGUAGUGCCUGGUCUUAUAUCUAGGUCUUUAAUCCAUUUGGAGUUUAUUUUUGUGUAUGGUGUGAGGGAGUGUUCUAAUGUCAUUCUUUUCCAUGUGGCUGUCCAGUUUUCCCAGCACCACUUAUUGAACAAGCUGUCUUUUCUCCAUUGUGUAUCCUUGGCUCCUUUGUCAUAGAUGAGUUGGCUGUAGGUGCAUGGGUUGAAUUCUGGGCUUUCUAUCCUGUUCCACUGAUCUAUAUUUCUGUCUCUGUGCCACUACCAUACAGUUUUGAUGACUGUAGCUUUUUAACAUAGUCUUAAGUCCAGGAGCCUGAUGCCUCCAGCUCCAUUUUUCUUUUUCAGGAUGUCUGUGGCUAUUCUGGGUCUUUUGUACUUCCAAACAAACUUUAGAAUAUUUAGUUUGAGUUCUGUGAAAAAUGUCCUUGGUCAUUUGCUAGGGAUUGCAUUGAACCUGUAGAUUGCCUUGGGUAGUAUAGUCAUUUUGAUAAUAUUGACUCUUCCAAUCCACAAGCAUGGUAUGUCUUUCCAUCUAUUUGUGUCAUCUUUGAUGUCUUUCAUCAGUGUCUUAGAGUUUUCAGAGUACAGGUCUUUUGUCUCUCUAGGUAGGUUUACUCCUAGGUAUUUUAUACUUUUGGAUGUGACGGUAAACGGGAUUGCUUCCCUAAUUUCCUUUUCUGCUUUUUCAUUGUUAGUAUAUAGAAAUGCCAUUGAUUUCUGUGUAUUAAUUUUGUAUCCUGCGACUUUGCCAAAUUCGUGGAUGAGCUCUAACAGUUUUCUGGCAGAGUCUUUAGGAUUCUCUAGGUAUAUUAUCAUGUCAUCUGCAAAUAGUGAUAGUUUUACCUCUUCCUUUCUGAUUUAGAUUCUUUUUAUUUCUUUUACUUUUCGGAUUGCUGUGGCUAGGACUUCCAGAACUAUGUUGAAGAGUAGUGGCAAGAGCAGACAUCCUUGUCUUUUCCUGAUCUCAGUGGGAAUUCUUUCAGCUUUUCACCAUUGAGAAUGUCGUUAGCUGUGGGUUUGUCAUAUAUGGCCUUUAUCAUGUUGAGGUAGGUUCCCUCUAUGUCCACUUUCUGAAGGCUUUUGAUCAGCAAUGGGUGUUGGAUUUUUUGAAAGGCUUUUUCUGCAUCUAUUGAGAGGAUCAUAUGGUUAUUAUUCUUCGGUUUGUUAAUGUAGUGUAUCACACUGAUGGAUUUGCAGAUAUUGAAGAACCCUUGCAUCCCUGGGAUAAAUCCCACUUGAUCAUUAUGUACAGUCCUUUUAAUGUAUUGUUGGAUGUGGUUUGCUAGUAUUUUGUUGAGGAUUUUUGCAUUGAUGUUCAUCAAUGAAAUUUUUUGUGGUAUCUUUGUCUGGUUUUGGUAUCAGGGUGAUUGUGGCCUUAUAAAAUGAGUUUGGGAGUAUCCCUUCCUGUGCAAUUUUUUGAAAUAGUUUCAGAAGGAUAGGUAUUAGCUUUUCUCUAAAUAUUUGAUAGAAUUGGCCUGUGAAGCCAUCUGGUCCUGGACUUUUGUUUUCUGGAUGUUUUUUAAUCACAGUUUCAACUUCAGUCCUUUUGAUGGUUCCAUUCUUCUUUUCUAUUCAUCUUGGUUUAGUCUCGGAAGAUUGUACCUUUCUAAGAAUUUGUCCAUUUCUUCUAGGUUUUCCAUUUUAUUGGCAUAUAAUAGUCUCUUAUGAUCCUUUGUACUUCUGUGAUGUCUGUUGUUACUUCUCCUUUUUCAUUUCUAAUUUUAUUGAUUUGAGUCCUCUCUCUUGUUUUCUUGAUAAGUCUGGCUAAGAAUUUAUCAAUUUUGUUGAUCAUUUCAAAGAACCAGCUUUUUGUUUCAUUGAACUUUUCUAUGGUUUACUUCACUUCUAUUUCAUUGAUUUCUGGUCUGAUCUUUAUGAUUUCGUUCCUUCUACUAACUUUAGUUCUUGGCUGUUCUUCUCUCUUGAGCUGCCUUAGAUGUAAAGUUAGCUUGUUUAUUUGAGUUUUUUCUUGCUUCCUGAGGUGGGCUUGUGUUGCUAUAAACUUUCCUCUUAGAAUGGCUUUUGCUGCAUCCCAUAGGUUUUGGAGCGUUGUAUCUUUGUUGUCAUCUGCUUCUAGGUAUUUUUUAAUUUCCUCUUUGAUUUCUUCAGUGAUCCAUUGGUUGUUGAGUAGCAUGUUGUUUCGUCUCCACAUGUUUGUGUUUUUUGCAGUUUCUUUCUUGUUGUUGGUUUCCAGUUGUAUAGUGUUGUGGUUAGAAAAGAUGCUUGAUAUGACAUGAUGUUCUUGAAGUUACCGAGGUUGGAUUUGUAGCCCAGGAUGUGAUCAAUCUUAGAGAACAUUCCAUGUGCACUUGAGAAGAAUGUGUAUUCUGUUGCUUUUGGAUGGAACGUACGAUAAAUAUCCAUUAAGUCCAUCUGGUUUAAUGCUUCAUUCAGGGCCUGUGUUUCCUUCUUGAUUUUCUGUCUGGAUGAUCUGUCCAUUGCUGUAAGUGGGGUGUUUAGGUCCCCACUAUGAUUGUGUUAUUGUCGAUUUGUCCUUUUCAGGUUGUUAGCAGUUGCCUUAUAUAUUGUGGUGAACCUAUGUUGGGUGCGUAGAUAUUUAAAAUUGUUAUAUCUUCUUCUUGGAUUGAUCCUUUGAUCAUUAUGUAGUGUCCUUCCUUGUCCCUUAGAAUGUUCUUCAUUUUAGAGUCUAUUUUGUCUGAUAUUAGUAUUGCUACUCCAGCUUUCUUUUGAUCCCCGUUUGCAUGGAAUAUUUUCUUCCAUCCUCUCACUUUCAAUUUGCAUGUGUCCCUAGAAGUGAAGUGGGUCUCUUGAAGACAGCAUAUAUAUGGGUCUUGUUUUUGUAUCCAUUCAGCCAGUCUAUGGCUUUUGGUUGGGGCGUUUAGUCCAUUAACAUUUAAGGUAAUUAUUGAUAUGUAUGUUCUUUUUACCAUUUUAUUAAUUACUUUGGAUUUGUUUUUGUUGCUCUUUUUUCUUCCUUUCUUUUCUUGUUGUCUCCUCUUGUUGUUUGAUGACUAUCUUUAGUGUUGUAUUUGAGUUUAUUUUUCUUAUUUGUUUGUGUAUCAAUUGUAGAUUUUUGGUUUGCCGUUCUGAAGUUUUGAUGUAAGAGUCUAUAUGUAUAUGAGAUUGUUUUAAGUUGUUGGUCUCUUAAUUGCAAGUUCAUCUCCAGUGUCUUGCAUUUGUACCCACCUCUUCUCAUGAUUUCUGAUUUUGGUGGCAAUAUUGUGCCUGGAUGAUUUCAUAUCUUUACUGAAUAUAUACCUUUACUGGUGAGCCUUGUCAUUUGUGGUAUUUUUGUUUCCCGUUGCUGUCUUUUCUUUUCUGCCUAGAGAAGUUCCUUCAUUUCGUAUUUGUUGUAAGGCUGGUUUAGUGUUGCUGACUGAAUUCUCUCAGCUUUUGUGUGUCUGUAAAGCUUUUGAUUUCUCCUUCAAAUCUGAAUGAGAGCCUUGCUGGGUCAAGGAAUCUUGGUUGGAAUUUUUUUUCCUUUCAUCACAUUAGGUAUAUCAUGCCACUCGCUUCUGGCCUGUAGAAUUUCUGCUGAAAAAUCUGCCGAUAGCCUUAUCAGGGUUUCCUUGUAUGUGAUUUGUUUCUUUUCCCUAGCUGCUCUCAAUAUUUUCUCUUUGUCUUUAAUUUUGGUCAGUUUGAUUAAUAUGAGUCUUGGGGUAUUCCUCCUUGAGUUAAUUUUAUGUGGUACUUGUUGUGCUUCCUGGAUUUGAGUGAGUGGUUCCUUUCCCAUGUUAGGGAAGUUUUUGGCUAUUAUCUUUUGGAAUAUUUUUUCUCUCCCCUUCUCUCUCUUCUCCUUCUGGCACCCCUAUAAUAUGGAUGUUGGUGUGUUUAACAUUGUCCCAGAUUUCCCUGAGACUCCCUUCAUUUGUUUUCAAUCUUUUUUCUCUUUUCUGUUCUGCAUCCUUAAUUUCCACCAAUCUGUCCUCCACCUAGCUUAUUUGUUCUUCUGCCUCCUUUAUUCUGCUGUUGGCUUCUUGUAAUGAAUAUUUUAUUUCAGUUAUUGUAUUUUGCAUCUGUUCUUGUUUAAGUUUUAUAUCUUGUAUCUCUUUGGUCAGUGUUUCCUGUAAGUUAUCCCUCUUUGCCUCUAGUUUAUUUCCAAUGUCUUGCAUCAUCUUCAGCAUCAACAGUCUAAAGUCUUUUUCCUGGAAGCUGAGAAUCUCCUGAUCAUUUAGCUGUUUUUCUGUUUUUUUUCUUUCUCCCUCAUCUGAGUUAUAGCUCUCUGUCUUUUCAUUUUGAUAGGUUUUUGGUGUGGUGACCGUUUUACAGGUAAUAGAGUUGUAGCCUCUCUUACUUCUGGUGUCUGCCCCCCUAUGGCUGAAGUCGAUAUGGGGGGCUUGCUGUAGGCUUCCUGAUGGGAGGUACUGAUGCCUGCCCACUGGUCGGUGGAGCUGAUUCUAAUCCCUCUGGUGGGUGGGGUUUUGUCUCUGGAUGUGACUAGAGGUGGCUGUGUCCCUGCAGGUAUUUAGGCAGCCUGUUUGCUGAGGGGCAGUGCUGUGAUCCCACCUGGAUUUUUGUUUGGCCUGGGGCCUCUCAGCACUGACUGACGGGUGGGGCCAGAUUUUCCCAAAAUCGCCACCUUCAGAGAAAGCCAUGCUGCUGAAUAUUCCUGAGAGCUUUGCUUCCAAUGUCUUUCCCUCACAACAAGCCACAUUCACCCCUGUUUUCCCAGGAUGUCCUCUGAGGACUGCAGUCAGGUUUGCCCCUGGUUCCUAUGGAGACUGCUUUGCCCUGGGGCCCAGUGCAUGUGAAAGUCUGUGUUUGCCUCUUAAGAAUGGGGUGUCCGUUUCCCCCAGUCCCAUGGAGCUCCUGCACACAAGCCCCAUUGGCCUUCAAUGCCAGAUGCUCCAGGGGCUCUUUCUCCCAGUGCCAGAUCCCCACACAUCAGAGUUGGAUGUGGGGCUCAGAACUCUCAUUCCUGUGGGUGAGUCUCUGUGAACCAGUUAGUUUCCAGUCUGUGGGGCUUCCCACCUAGGAGGUAUGGGGGUGCUUAUAUCAUGUAAUCACCCCUCCUACCUCUUGAUGUGGCCUCUUUGUCUUCUGGAGGAGGAUAUCUUUUUCAAAAUUUCAGGUCUAUUUGGUUGAAGAUUGCUCAGCUUUUAGUUGUAAUUUUGUUGUUUUUAGGAGAGAAGUUGAGCUCCAGUCUGUCUAUUCUGCCAUCUUAAUCUCUAAUUCCCAUAAACAUUACUUUUAAAGGGGCAGUCUGACAUUAUGCCUUGGCACAGAGCAUUACUGUGCCCACUCAGUGACUAUGAUGGGCAGUCAGCUCUCUCUUAUAACUGUAUAUGCUCUCUCUUGGAUUUGCUUUCCCUAUCCAAAACAUAGGAUGGAGCUGGGGAGUUCAGAUAUUUCAAGAACUUAUCCCACAUUUGAAUUUUAUCAAAACCAUGUUUUGCCCACAACCAGGCACUAUCCUAGUUGAGACCAAGAGCCCUUUUAGGACUCCAAAAGGCAAUGGUUUAGUUCCUGAAGUCUUCCUUACUCUUCCUGAAGUGGCCCUUUAAAAAGUCAACAUUUAACUCAAGUCCUCUUGGCUUCAGGGAGAAGCGAGAGCUUCUUUAGUUUCCAAGUCAGAAUAGGCUCAAGGACAGCUUUGCAUUCUCUCAAAUCAUGCUUUAGUAUUUCCAAUAUUAAUGUUGAAAAGUUGGGAUGAUUGAACUAACUUGUUUGUAGGUUAGACUUGAGACAGGGGAGAGCAGUACUUUGAUUUAAAAUCUGAGAGCAGGACUUCUCUUGAGGGUAGCAGGUUAAGUAUCCAGCAUUGUCACUGCAGCAGCUUGGGUCACUGUUAUGGCAUGGGUUCGAUCCCUGCCCCAGGAACUUCCAUAUGCUGUAGGCAUGACCAAAUAAAUAAAAUAAAAUCUGAAAAUAAACUCAGACAUGGUCAAUUAAUCUUUGACAAAGGAGAUAAGCAUAUGAAAUGAGAAAAAGUUUCUUCAGCAAGUGGUGCUGGGAAAACUGGACAGCUGCAUGUAAAUCAAUGAAGUUACAUUCCCUCACACCAUGCAUAAAAAUAAACUCAAAAUGGCUUAAAGACAAACAUAAGACAUGACACACUAAAACUCCUAGAAGAGAACAUAGGCAAAAUAUUCCCUGACAUCAACCAUACAAAUGAUUUCUUAGAUCAGUCUCUCAAGCCAAUAGAAAUAAAAACAAAAAUAAACAAACAGGACCUAAUCAAACUUAAAAGCUUUUGCACAG
This 7946-nucleotide long non-coding RNA is filed under the name Sus scrofa (pig). RNAcentral's name for it is "lncRNA (ENSSSCG00025064090.1)". Lineage: Eukaryota; Metazoa; Chordata; Mammalia; Artiodactyla; Suidae. The record is from RNAcentral.